GAAAGAGUGCGUAAUAGCUCACUGGUCGAGUGACCCCGCGCCGAAAAUGUACCGGGGCUAAACAUAUUACCGAAACUGUGGAUGAACCUCUUUAGAGGUUCGUGGUAGGAGAGCGUUCUAAGGGCGGGGAAGUCAGACCGGAAGGACUGGUGGAGCGCUUAGAAGUGAGAAUGCCGGUAUGAGUAGCGAAAGAAGGGUGAGAAUCCCUUCCACCGAAUAUCUAAGGUUUCCUGAGGAAGGCUCGUCCGCUCAGGGUUAGUCGGGACCUAAGCCGAGGCCGAUAGGCGUAGGCGAUGGACAACAGGUAGAGAUUCCUGUACCAGUGCUAAUUGUUUAACCGAUGGGGUGACACAGAAGGAUAGGGAAUCGCACGAAUGGAAAUGUGCGUCCAAGCAGUGAGUGUGAGAAGUAGGCAAAUCCGCUUCUCGC
RNAcentral lists this ribosomal RNA (429 nucleotides) under Listeria monocytogenes. RNAcentral's name for it is "bacterial LSU rRNA". It matches the Rfam family "Bacterial large subunit ribosomal RNA", at positions 1124 to 1552 of the family's 2925-position model. The record is from RNAcentral. Lineage: Bacteria; Bacillati; Bacillota; Bacilli; Caryophanales; Listeriaceae.